Molecule: ribosomal RNA, 207 nt
Filed under: Cirrospilus coachellae
Lineage: Eukaryota; Metazoa; Arthropoda; Insecta; Hymenoptera; Eulophidae
Description: partial 28S ribosomal RNA
Rfam family: Eukaryotic large subunit ribosomal RNA
Source: RNAcentral
UUUCCCUCAGGAUAGCUGGCACUCGCGUGAGCGAGUCUCAUCUGGUAAAGCGAAUGAUUAGAGGCCUUGGGGCCGAAACGACCUCAACCUAUUCUCAAACUUUAAAUGGGUGAGAUCUCUGGCUUGCUUGAACGUUGAAGCCACGAGAUAUCAUGGAUCAGAGUGCCAAGUGGGCCAAUUUUGGUAAGCAGAACUGGCGCUGUGGGA